GGCUUCGUAGCACAGCUCGCUGCGUUUGGGUAUGGUGUUUCUGUCGCUGGUUCGAAUCCAGCCGAAGCCC
This is a non-coding RNA of Paragonimus kellicotti, 70 nucleotides long. Lineage: Eukaryota; Metazoa; Platyhelminthes; Trematoda; Plagiorchiida; Troglotrematidae. The record is from the annotation of a GenBank genome assembly.